UUCAUACCAAGCGAAAAAAUAAUAAGGAAUCAACUCAAGGAAAAAUUUUGGAACAGAUUACUUUGAUGAUCAAGAUUAAGAGUAAAGAAAAUUUAUUUCUAAACUUGUGGUUCAAAUCACUCCACAAGUUAGU
Molecule: long non-coding RNA, 133 nt
Organism: Cucurbita moschata (crookneck pumpkin)
Lineage: Eukaryota; Viridiplantae; Streptophyta; Magnoliopsida; Cucurbitales; Cucurbitaceae
Exons: 3
Source: RefSeq, a predicted model, not a curated record